Molecule: transfer RNA, 75 nt
Filed under: Mesorhizobium sp. 113-3-3
Lineage: Bacteria; Pseudomonadati; Pseudomonadota; Alphaproteobacteria; Hyphomicrobiales; Phyllobacteriaceae
Description: tRNA-Glu
Source: RNAcentral
AGUCCGGUAGCACAUGCAGCCGUGCAGCGAGGUUCUCGCCCUCGGCGGCGCGCAGUUCGGCGACGCGCCGGGCGA